RNAcentral lists this ribosomal RNA (494 nucleotides) under Bacillus cereus. RNAcentral's name for it is "bacterial LSU rRNA". It matches the Rfam family "Bacterial large subunit ribosomal RNA", at positions 1 to 483 of the family's 2925-position model. Lineage: Bacteria; Bacillati; Bacillota; Bacilli; Caryophanales; Bacillaceae. The record is from RNAcentral.
GUUUGGUUAAGUUAGAAAGGGCGCACGGUGGAUGCCUUGACACUAGGAGUCGAUGAAGGACGGGACUAACGCCGAUAUGCUUCGGGGAGCUGUAAGUAAGCUUUGAUCCGAAGAUUUCCGAAUGGGGAAACCCACUAUACGUAAUGGUAUGGUAUCCUUAUCUGAAUACAUAGGGUAAGGAAGACAGACCCAGGRAACUGAAACAUCUAAGUACCUGGAGGAAGAGAAAGCAAAUGCGAUUUCCUGAGUAGCGGCGAGCGAAACGGAACAUAGCCCAAACCAAGAGGCUUGCCUCUUGGGGUUGUAGGACAUUCUAUACGGAGUUACAAAGGAACGAGGUAGACGAAGCGACCUGGAAAGGUCCGUCGUAGAGGGUAACAACCCCGUAGUCGAAACUUCGUUCUCUCUUGAAUGUAUCCUGAGUACGGCGGAACACGUGAAAUUCCGUCGGAAUCUGGGAGGACCAUCUCCCAAGGCUAAAUACUCCCUAGUGA